ACAUGCCUAUAAGAUAGUGUUAAUGCACCAGAUCCCAUUAGAACUCCGUAGUUAAGCACGCCUAGGAUAGAGUAGUACUGGGAUGGGUGACUGCUCGGGAAGUCCUAGUGUUUUACAUGCC
Non-coding RNA from Picea glauca (white spruce), 121 nucleotides. The record is from Rfam. NCBI's taxonomy places the organism in Eukaryota, Viridiplantae, Streptophyta, Pinopsida, Pinales, Pinaceae.